Molecule: long non-coding RNA, 448 nt
Filed under: Vulpes vulpes (red fox)
Lineage: Eukaryota; Metazoa; Chordata; Mammalia; Carnivora; Canidae
Description: lncRNA (ENSVVUG00000022371.1)
Source: RNAcentral
CAACAUUUGGCAGGACUUCCCCAGUGCUCAGAUUCCUGGGCCCCAGAGGUGGUUUCAAUCUCACAAAGUUCUGUCAAGGGUGAAAAGCAUGAUGCGAGUAACUGCCAGGCCAUGCCCUCUUGGUAUGGUGAUGGAGACGAGUGACAGCUGGCCCAUCCUUGUCAUCGGAGUCUGCGGAGCAUUGGAAGGGACAGUCACAAUGGGGAGCGGCAGGUCACAAUGGGGGAGGCGCCGCCAGGACGCAGCCGGCCGGGCCUGCACUUUCCCAGGAAGGGCAACCCCGGUGCCUGUCCCCGAGAGCCCAGCAGCCCGGCCCUUGGUCGGAGGAGCAAAGCCGGGAGAGCCGCCGAGGGCGACGCGCUGGAAGCUGGCACUCACCGGUUGUCUCAAGUCGGAAUCUAUUCUUCAAGGUGAUGACAACCCUGCCCUGCCGUACUGGGUGAUCUAA